RNAcentral lists this ribosomal RNA (255 nucleotides) under Escherichia coli. RNAcentral describes it as "partial 16S ribosomal RNA". It matches the Rfam family "Bacterial small subunit ribosomal RNA", at positions 1 to 252 of the family's 1533-position model. RNAcentral also lists the same sequence under 1 other name. The record is from RNAcentral. Lineage: Bacteria; Pseudomonadati; Pseudomonadota; Gammaproteobacteria; Enterobacterales; Enterobacteriaceae.
AAAUUGAAGAGUUUGAUCAUGGCUCAGAUUGAACGCUGGCGGCAGGCCUAACACAUGCAAGUCGAACGGUAACAGGAAGCAGCUUGCUGUUUCGCUGACGAGUGGCGGACGGGUGAGUAAUGUCUGGGAAACUGCCUGAUGGAGGGGGAUAACUACUGGAAACGGUAGCUAAUACCGCAUAACGUCGCAAGACCAAAGAGGGGGACCUUCGGGCCUCUUGCCAUCGGAUGUGCCCAGAUGGGAUUAGCUAGUAGG